Molecule: ribosomal RNA, 251 nt
Filed under: uncultured bacterium
Lineage: Bacteria
Description: partial small subunit ribosomal RNA
Rfam family: Bacterial small subunit ribosomal RNA
Source: RNAcentral
AGGACGAACGCUGGCAGCGUGCUUAACACAUGCAAGUCGAACGAGGUGCUUCGGCACUUAGUGGCGAACGGGUGAGUAACACGUGAGCAACCUGCCCUUGGCUCUGGGAUAGCCUCCGGAAACGGGGAUUAAUACCGGACAUGACCUUCCCCGGCAUCGGGGUUGGUGGAAAGUUUUUCGGCCAGGGAGGGGCUCGCGGCCUAUCAGCUUGUUGGGGGGGUAACGGCCCACCAAGGCGACGACGGGUAGCC